GAUGAAUUGGAAUUGUGGUGCACUAAAUCAAAGCCAGAGCUUGUUGGUUCAUCAUGGGAUGAACUUAAGCACACAAGACAAGCUAUUGGUUUCUUGGUAAUAUUCCAGAAGUAUAGGAUUUCGUAUGAUGAGAUAGUCAAUGACCUCUGCCC
Zingiber officinale is the source of this 152-nucleotide long non-coding RNA. RefSeq lists it as uncharacterized. The transcript has 3 exons. Lineage: Eukaryota; Viridiplantae; Streptophyta; Magnoliopsida; Zingiberales; Zingiberaceae. The record is from RefSeq and is a predicted model, not a curated record.